This 24-nucleotide non-coding RNA is filed under the name Arabidopsis thaliana (thale cress). Lineage: Eukaryota; Viridiplantae; Streptophyta; Magnoliopsida; Brassicales; Brassicaceae. The record is from RNAcentral.
GGGCUCUUCAUCCAUCUCCAGGAC